CCUACGGGAGGCAGCAGUGGGGAAUAUUGCACAAUGGGGGAAACCCUGAUGCAGCGACGCCGCGUGAGUGAAGAAGUAUUUCGGUACGUAAAGCUCUAUCAGCAGGGAAGAAAAUGACGGUACCUGACUAAGAAGCCCCGGCUAACUACGUGCCAGCAGCCGCGGUAAUACGUAGGGGGCAAGCGUUAUCCGGAUUUACUGGGUGUAAAGGGAGCGUAGACGGCAGCGCAAGUCUGGAGUGAAAUCCCAUGGCUUAACCAUGGAACUGCUUUGGAAACUGUGCAGCUAGAGUGCAGGAGAGGUAAGCGGAAUUCCUAGUGUAGCGGUGAAAUGCGUAGAUAUUAGGAGGAACACCAGUAGCGAAGGCGGCUUACUGGACUGUAACUGACGUUGAGGCUCGAAAGCGUGGGGAGCAAACAGGAUUAGAUACCCGGGUAGUC
Molecule: ribosomal RNA, 440 nt
Filed under: uncultured bacterium
Lineage: Bacteria
Description: partial 16S ribosomal RNA
Rfam family: Bacterial small subunit ribosomal RNA
Source: RNAcentral